UAGCUAAGUGGUUAAGCGUUUGGCUGCUAAUCAAGAGGUCGGUGGUUCGAAUCCACC
This 57-nucleotide transfer RNA is filed under the name Loxodonta africana (African savanna elephant). It matches the Rfam family "tRNA", at positions 8 to 63 of the family's 71-position model. From Rfam's summary of the family: Transfer RNA (tRNA) molecules are approximately 80 nucleotides in length. Lineage: Eukaryota; Metazoa; Chordata; Mammalia; Proboscidea; Elephantidae. The record is from Rfam by way of RNAcentral.